AUGCAUUCGGAGGAAUUUGGGUGCUACUCGGCAAGGACUGCCUACCGUGCUUUCUUCUUUGGCUUAACUGAGAUGCCUGUAGCAAAUGAAGUUUGGAACUCUUGGGCGCAGCCACAAUUGAAGUUCUUCGCGUGGUUGGUCGUCAAGAAUAGGGGCUGGACCUCUGAUCGCCUUGCCGCAAGGGGCCUACCACACCAGCCGAGCUGCCCGAUGUGUCUCCAAGAGCCUGAAACUCUUGAUCAUUUGCUUGUGGAAUGCUCUUUGGCGCGCACGGUGUGGUUGGAGGUGUUGAGGGUUAAGGGCUGGGAAAGCUUCACCCCAUCCCAACAGGGCGUGGUGGUGGACUGGUGGACAACGACUAGUAACACCACCGCGGCGGCAAGGAAGGAGCUGAACUCUUACAUCCUCCUAGUGCUAAACUCCAUCUGGAAGGAAAGGGGCUGGAGUGUUUUUGACAAAAUCUCCUUGACCACUAGUGGAUAA
RNAcentral lists this ribosomal RNA (483 nucleotides) under Triticum aestivum (bread wheat). Its description in RNAcentral is "partial small subunit ribosomal RNA". The record is from RNAcentral. Lineage: Eukaryota; Viridiplantae; Streptophyta; Magnoliopsida; Poales; Poaceae.